This 346-nucleotide long non-coding RNA is filed under the name Elaeis guineensis (African oil palm). RNAcentral describes it as "long non-coding RNA (EGUI_LNC081149)". The record is from RNAcentral. Lineage: Eukaryota; Viridiplantae; Streptophyta; Magnoliopsida; Arecales; Arecaceae.
AAAUAAAUUCGGUGCAAAAUUGAAAGAGUUUUGGAUUUCUAAAACUCUAUGUCAUAGAAUUCGAAAUCCAAACUUAUUCCUUUUUGAUUUGAUCCAAACCACCUUCCAUGUAAGAAAGAAGAGAGGAGACCUUUUGUGAACAUGGGAGAGACCUGGGAGAGGGCUUUUAUCACACAAAAUAAGAGGAGAAUGGCAUUGAAUGAGAGAGAGGGCGUGGGGAAGGCUUAUGUGGUGCAAGGUGGAAUCCUAGUCUUACUAGGAUUCUAUCUUAUGACUUGUUUUAAUUUGGUUUCUCAAACCAAAUCAAACUAAAAUUAGAUCAACCCAAUUAAAAUAGGUCUUAACC